GGUCUCGCGGGGCUCGGCCUCGCCCUCCCGCCCGGCCGCCGGGCUCGCGCUCGCUGCCGGGGCUGCCUCACGCGUCCACCGCCGCCCGCCGGGCCGCCGCCUCCGGCCGCCUCCUCGUCCUCCACCCCCGCCCCGCUGUGCUCCGGACAGCGUCCCGCGCGGAGAAGGGGGCGGGCGGCGGAGAGAUAUCCUUCCUCCGGUGCGCCGAGGAGUCCCGACGCCGCCGCCGACUUCCCAGGCGCUGAAGGCGAGAGGCACGUUAAGCUGCUGGGCUCCGCCACAUAACGAACCGACAAUAAAGCCGGCGGAGCGUUUCCGUCCGACCAGGCCCUGGCGGAGGUCGAAUGGCAAAUGAACAACGGACCGUGCGCCCACAAUGCACCGGGGUAGCAGUAACCGCUGGAGGGGGAAAGGGUGGGGGCCGGGCUGGGGGAGGGGGGCUGGGCUUGGGGCUGGGCCGGGGUGGGGUGGGGGCGCCAGGGGACCGGGAAAGGGGCUGGGCCGCGCCUCCGGCCUGGGGGCGGGGGUGCGGCCGGGGGGGAAGGAAGUCGGCCGAGGGGCGGGGGACAAAAGGCCGAGCGGCUGGCUGGGGGUCUCGAGGAGGGGGCGGGCGUGUGCGGCCGGGGCCGGGCUACGCGGAGGACAAACAGCUGGCGAGUGUCAGGGUCUGGCCGCCUCCCCGCUGCCCGCACGCACCUACCCGCGCCCGGGACGCACAUUUUCCUCCUCUCGCCACGAGUUCACCUGGGACUUUGGAAAUAACUGUGCGGUGGGGGCUGCUGCGCUCCAGCCUUGUCAUUUGCUAGGGGUGGGUGGCGGUGCCCAAGGAAGUGAACUUAUUUUGUUCCUUCACAAAGACUGGACCAGGCGGUGCCUUUCACACAAGGAGGUUACAACCACCGACACCUCCUCGUCUGCAGCAUUGUGUGUGCCAGGCAGCACCUCAGGCCCAAGGCAAUAAUCAUUUCACAGAAAAUGCACCGCCCCGAGUGUCUUAUUGCUGUGAUGAAAUGGAAAUUUAAAUAAAAGGUCGAACACGUGCGUUCACUGGGAAGUAUUGACAUGGGUGUUACAUCACCACCAGCCAAUCAGAUAACUCCAGUCGUGUUUAUACUUCUACAACCACCUUGUGAGUAUUACAGUAUGUCAUAACGUUAUAAAUAUUAGGCAGGGUUUUCCCCAGGAGCGGGGAGGAGUCUGCUUAUACGGACGUUGUGUGCGACUCCAAGGAUUGUGUAUCUAAAGACAAGAAUUAGUUAUUAAGAUUUAUUUUUUAAUUGUUUACAUUGCAUAUGGAAUUUAGAAUGAUUAGAGGAACAGAUUGAGCUAGAAAUGAAACUCAUAAUCUUGGUCGAGUUUUCCAACUUAGAGCCCUUAUACUCCUAUUCUUGAAAUUUUAAAUAAGCUAAAUUUUAAAGUGUUUAGACUCGUUUUACUAUUUUAAAAUGUGAAAUAAAUCUUAUUUUUUAUUCAAACCUAUUUCAGGUUUAAAAAAGAUCUUCUCGGGCGCCUGGGUGGCUCAGUUGGUUAAGCGACUGCCUUCGGCUCAGGUCAUGAUCCUGGAGUCCCGGGAUCGAGUCCCGCAUCGGGCUCCCUGCUCAGCAGGGGGUCUGCUUCUCCCUCUGACCCUCUUCCCUCUCGUGCUCUCUGUCUCUCAUUCUCUCUCUCUCAAAUAAAUAAAUAAAAUCUUAAAAAAAAAUUAAAAAUUAAAAAAAAUGAUCCUCUCAAACUAUGGCGAGGCUUUUUAACUUUAAAGAAAUUUAUUAAUAUUAAAAGUUUAAUCACAAACUAAUAUGAAAUAUAUUCAAGAUAAACUCUUGAAAAAGGGAAAAAGGACAUUUAUAUGGCAGGGUACACUUUUUACAUUAAACACGUUAGGAUGUGCAUAGAAAAAAUUGGAAAUAUGCACAAACUCUUUACACUUACAGAUUAUUGUUAGAGGCUUUAAUUGUCUGCAUUAUGUAUUAAUGGAAAAUUAUAUAUGUUUAAUAAAGAACAUGUAUUACAGCUUUUAGGCCCUCUAGUUUUAUGAUUCUGUUCUCUUGAAAUUUCUAUUUUUAAAAUAAGAAAAAUAUUAUACCUUUGAAUAUGUAAUGUGGAGUAUGGAAUAUGGUAUGUUUCUGUUAACUUUAAAAAACAGAUUUUCUCAGACAUUAUAAAAUACCAUUAGUAUUAAUAUUUUUCAAUGGAUAAACACAUGCAUGCACAUCGAGACUCAUAUAUACUGUUGAUUGUAUUAUACAAAGCAACUUCCACUUAAUUCACUAUAAUUUUAGUGUCUGUAGAAAUAAACAGUAUUAUAUAUCAAACAAAAAGUGUUAGUUGUAUCUUAUAGACAAAAUAUGAUUUUAAUGUAAAGAAUGAUGCUGAUAACCUGCCACAAAAAGGCUUUGGCUUUGAGUUAUUUUUCCAGUAAUAAUCAUAUUGUCAUCUGCCUACCAAUGAUCAACAGCUUGAAAUUCUGAUAAAGAUCCUCACUUGGUAUGGUUUGUGGGUUUUUUUUUUUUUCUUCUUCUUUGUGUCCUGCUUUGUUUUAAUUGUUGGGAAAUCUAAGACAGUAGAAUCAUGAUACUGACCUAAUUUGUACCUUGGAGAAGAAAGGAUUCUGCCUGCUUGGGCACAUAUAAUAUGUGCUUCCAUGUGAUAUAUAGAAGAAUGUUAUAAUAAUACUGUACUUUGUCCUUAAUGCAUUUUUUCAAUUCCAGGCACUUUGCAAACAAAUGCAUUAUUUAUUGUAUUUUAACCACCACUGCCACCCCCAUAAAAAGAAGAAUUACUGAAGUUAAUUGCUUAUCUAGGAUUAAAGUAAUGAAAUGAAGAUGAAGCUCUUCCAAGUAUAUUCGUGAUCAACCAACAUAAAAUUUGCCUCAACCUUUGGGAUAUUACUCCUGCGACAAGAACCAUAAAGAGUGGCUGUGCCAUCAUGCCUCUGUUUUCAAAAGGAGUGGACCAGACAGUGUGGGUGGAGAAGGAAAAAAAUUCAUAAGCACCUUUGGAUAAACUGCUCAAAGUCGUUGCGCUACUUACAAGAGCUCAGCAGAGGCUUCUGCAUGAACAAGAACAGUCGACAUGAGUGAGGUGUGAAACAUAAUGCAGAUAAUGCACAAGUUAUGCCCUUCAAGGCCAUGAAUAAUUGUGGCCAACCUUGGACAAGAAGUCGGUCAUCCCAAGAGUAGAAUUAAAAAAAAAAAAUGAAGUCAACUCCUGGGCUACGCAGAGAAUACCUGUACACACACUCUCUUCUGAGCCUCUGUGACUGCGGGAAACCACAGGGGAGAUGAUGUGAACAGAGAGCCUCUCUACUAGCCUCUGGCAUCAGAGAGAGAGAGAGGCAGAGGCAGAGGGAGAGAAGCAGGCUCCCGCCCAGCAGGGAGCCCGAUGCGGGACUCAAUCCCACGACCCCGGGAUCACGACCCGAGCCGAAGGCAGACGCUUAACCGACUGAGCCACCCAGGCGCCCCAGGUGGCAGGAGGAGAAUUCAUCUCUAGAAAAGGAGAAGCUUCUAUGAGACAUUGUGAAGACUGCUCCAGGACACACCAUCUCCAUUAAAAGCCACAGCCUCUAUGUGGGACAAGGACAGCAUGGAGCAGAAGAGAGGGAGCUGGUACAGAAGGGAGAGUACAGGCGUAAGCCCUCCAGAUGAUUAUUCUAUACAUCAAAGUUUGAAAACCACUUCUUCACCAGAUCUAUCUAUCUCCUCAUCUCACCUCAGAAAGUUUCAUCAAGCCUCGAAGAUCCACUUUUAUCACCACUGUGGUCUCUGUAUUUUCCUGUAAGAAGACCUGGUACAGCAUUAAGGAAAGCCCAUUUCUUAUGGUCUGUCAGCGUCACUUAGGGACGUUGCUUCUCUCAGGAACUGAACUGAGAUAACUGAAUGUGUUCAAAACAUCUUACCACUCAUGGUGUUGGUAGGUGUUUUGACUUCUAAGAAUUUCAUUUCCUCAUCUGUAAGACAGGAGACAACAUUGCCUAUCUCAAGAUUGUAUUACAAGUUAAACAAUACUAUGAUCUAAAGUACACAGUAGAGUGCUUGACACACAGUGAGCAGUCAGUAAAUGGCAGUUGGUAUGAACAAGGUAGGCCAGAAGUUGUGAGGCUGUCUUCUGUCCCACACUGUACCAAGGGAGGAGAUAAACACAGUUGGAAAUAACAGGUGGUAACAGUGGAAAGGAAACAGGCUGGCCAAUCCCUAGGGCUCAGAGAAGAAAGGAAAGAGGGCUUUUGAGAGCUGGCGAAAGACCCGGAAUGUCCUUAGAGUUUUAUAUUGGCAAGAGGCCUCAGCCUCCCACAGCUGCUCACCUACCAACUCUUUGGAAUUUUAGAUUUCAGGCACAAGAUGAUUUAUAUGGUUGCUUGAGAGCAGUGAAUAAAUGAAGGGAAAAAGUGUCCAUGAAAAGACCAGUUUAGUAAAACCUUCUGGUUUUUCUUUCUUUGUUGGUGGUACCCUGCCAAGACCUCCAUCCAGACUUGGCUCACAGCUACUCUGCUCUGCGACCCACAGCUCACUGGGGAGGUCACAAGCUGGUUAUUAUCCCAUAACCACACCGCUUAUCAGGCUUUGCCGUUGUCUUCUUCAGUGUGAAUGCUUGGGCUCUUCACUAUGCAAUGAAAAUAAACAGCUAUGUAAAUGGUCUCCUGGCUACUUGAUUCAAACCAUAAGGAAAACCUGCAUUACAAGCUUCCACUGAAACUUCUAGUAGAAUAAGCAACUGAUAAUUCUACACCAAAUGUCUGGCUUUUAGCCAGGACUAACAACUGUUCCCUUUUUGUAAGCCACAUUCUGGUGACCAUGGAGAGUCAAAAUAGACAUUUUGAUUCUAGAACAUUUUUUAAAAGAAGGUGAAAUCACAGUGUCAUUAUGCAAGCUAACUAUAGGUUUAGGAUGAAGAAUAAGUUAGCUUCAAAACUUUAAAUUGGUUGACUGUCAAUCAUUCAUUAAAAUAUUACUGUUUUUCGAAUUGUUGGUACUCAUUGCUAUUAGAGUAGGGUUGCCAGACUUAGCAAAUAAAAAUAAAGGGUGCCCAGUUAAAUUUGAAUUUCAGAUAAACAAGGGAUAAUUUUUUAGCAGAAGUAUGUCCCAUGUAAUAUUAAUUAUUUAUAAUAUUUAGUACAUGAGACAUACUUACACUAAAAAAUUAUUUGUUUAUCUGAAAUUCAAAUUUCACUAAUCUGGCAACUUUAACUUAGAUGCAUUUUCACUAUGAUGCCAAGAAACAUGAGAAGGGCAGGGUAACAUUUUAAAAUUCUGAUGAGAUAGUUGAACUUCUUUGCUAGGUCAAAAGAUAAUAUGACCUUUUCUUUUUGCCACUUGUCCUCUAUUAAAAUUAAUUUUGUAUUUUCCACCAAGCUCUAGAGUUAGGGUUUUGUUUUUUGUUUUUUUUUUAAUUAUAUAUAUAUAUUUUUUAAUAUUUUAUUUAUUUAUUUGACAGAGAGAGACACAGCGAGAGAGGGCAGGGGGAGUGGGAGAGGGAGAAGCAGGCUCCCCGCAGAGCAGGGAGCCCGAUGCGGGAC
Molecule: long non-coding RNA, 5512 nt
Organism: Mirounga angustirostris (Northern elephant seal)
Lineage: Eukaryota; Metazoa; Chordata; Mammalia; Carnivora; Phocidae
Exons: 8
Source: RefSeq, a predicted model, not a curated record